RNAcentral lists this ribosomal RNA (225 nucleotides) under uncultured bacterium. RNAcentral describes it as "partial 16S ribosomal RNA". It matches the Rfam family "Bacterial small subunit ribosomal RNA", at positions 109 to 334 of the family's 1533-position model. The record is from RNAcentral.
CGUAACACGUAUGCAACCUUCCUUCAAAUGGAGGAUAGCCCCUCGAAAGAGGGAUUAAUACUCCGUAGUAUUACAGAUGGGCAUCUAUUUGUAAUUAAAGCUCCGGCGGUUGAAGAUGGGCAUGCGUUGCAUUAGCUAGUUGGUGAGGUAACGGCUCACCAAGGCGACGAUGCAUAGGGGAUCUGAGAGGACUAACCCCCACACUGGUACUGAGACACGGACCAG